UCGAGAAUAUUUCGCAAUGGGGGAAACCCUGACGAUGCGACGCCGCGUGCGGGAUGAAGGCCUUCGGGUUGUAAACCGCUGUGUUAUGGGAAGAAUCGCUAGUUGGUGAUAAGCCAGUUAGCUUGACGGUACCAUAGUAGAAAGCCCCGGCUAACUCACGUGCCAGCAGCCGCGGUAAUACGUGGGGGGCAAGCGUUGUCCGGAAUUACUGGGCGUAAAGCGCGCGUAGGCGGCCAUAUCAGUCAUGUGUGAAAUUGCUUGGCUCAACCAAGCAACUGUGCUUGAUACUGUAUGGCUUGAGUACGGAAGAGGAAAGUGGAAUACACGGUGUAGCGGUGAAAUGCGUAGAUAUCGUGUAGAACACCAGUGGCGAAGGCGGCUUUCUAGUCCGAUACUGACGCUGAGGUGCGAAAGUCUGGGGAGCAAACGGG
This 431-nucleotide ribosomal RNA is filed under the name uncultured Poribacteria bacterium. RNAcentral describes it as "bacterial SSU rRNA". It matches the Rfam family "Bacterial small subunit ribosomal RNA", at positions 355 to 776 of the family's 1533-position model. RNAcentral also lists the same sequence under 1 other name. Lineage: Bacteria; Candidatus Poribacteria. The record is from RNAcentral.